GACCAGCAUUGAGCGGGAACUAUCUCUGUCAGAGUAUAUAAGGGAGAACAAAAGAAUGUGACACUCUCUUCUCUGUCUGCCCUGCGUGGUGUCACAGGGAGACCGAAUAUAUACAAACAACAUAUUUACCAUUCAAGUGUUUGCAAUAAUUAAAGAACAAAGAAAACUUGAGUUACUCUUUGUUAACUAAUUGGUUCUAAUACCAGAUUCGAAUUGACGUGACUCGACAUUAGUUUGGCCACUGUUGAUCUACACAGAUGUGGAUUAAAAUGUCAAGACAGGAGAAGGAGCAUACUUGAAUUUAUUCUGGAUGCUUGAAACUGACCUGUCUGCUGCCUUUGAUACUGUGAACCAUCAGAUCCUCCUCUCCACCCUCUCCGAGUUGGGCAUCUCCGGCGCGGCUCACUCUUGGAUUGCGUCCUACCUGACAGGACGCUCCUACCAGGUGGCGAAUCGCAUCUCUGCAUGUCUGGCAGACAUAUCAGUGUGGAUGACGGAUCACUACCUCAAGCUGAACCUCGGCAAGACGGAGCUGCUCUUCCUCCCAGGGAAGGACUGCCCGUUCCAUGAUCUCGCCAUCACGGUUGACAACUCCAUUGUGUCCUCCUCCCAGAGUGCCAAGAGCCUUGGCGUGACCCUGGACAACACCCUGUCGUUUUCCGCUAACAUCAAGGCGGUGACCCG
Molecule: long non-coding RNA, 684 nt
Filed under: Salmo salar (Atlantic salmon)
Lineage: Eukaryota; Metazoa; Chordata; Actinopteri; Salmoniformes; Salmonidae
Description: lncRNA (ENSSSAG00000102997.1)
Source: RNAcentral